AAGAGGGGGGGUCGGGUUCUAAGGCACAAGGGGAUGCAUGCAUUUAUCAACAGCUAGCCACUCCUUCCUAGGCUGUCGGAAACCCGCAGGUUUUCUAGCUUUGAAGUUCCCUGCCAGUAGCAGGGGGCUAAGGGGAAAGCAGGAGGCGGGAUCGCAGGGAGAACCGCUGCCCCCCGCCCCCAUCCAGCAGCCAGGGACUGCACCCACCGGCGACACGGGUCGGGCCACACAGGAGCGCCCCGAGGCGCGCAGGAUCCGCUCCUCCGAGACGCGUCGGGCGGGCCGAGGUCUAGGGAGCCCCCGGGCCGGGCGCAGGGUCGAGCGGCCGCCAGGCUGGGCCCUCGGGGGCCCUCCCGCGCGGGCUUGGCCCGCACUCACAUCCCGCAGCGGCGGACCCGGCAGCCGCCUGCAGCCCUCGCCGGGACGGACGGGCGCCUCCGGAGCCGGGGCCGCGGCCGAGGCGCCGACGCCGCGCGAGCUCGCCCAGAGCGGGGGCCCGCCCAGCCUGUCAGCGCGGCGGGAGGCCGGCGGUGGCCGCUGCUGCCCCCUUUCUGCUCUGCCUCAGCUUCCUGCAGCCCACGCCACGCCCACCGCGCGCCGAGCCCGUCUCCGCCCUCCAGGGGCCGCACGCCGCCUCCGCUCGGCCCCGCGACGCCGGCUCAGCUGCCCUGCUCGGCGGGCUCCGGCGCGGUGCAGCUUCGGGAAAGCGGCCCCGAGCGGCGGAGCGGGGCGUGGGCAAGCCGGCGGGGGUUGGCGGGGGGGCGGAGGCCGGCACGCCCCACUGCGCCUGCGCCGCCCGCGGGGCCGCUCUGCGGGGCUGGGCCGGGACGGGGGAGGCGGCCGCGGGCUCCGGGGAAGCGGAGGCGCGCGUGGAGAUUCCCGGGGCAGCCCCCGGGCGAGAGCGCGCGAGGAGGAGGAGGAGCGGGGCGGGUGCGGGUUGGCGCAGCGUGCUUGCGGCCUCGGCUCGCGGAGGAGACGGCUGGGAAUGAGUCAGCCCGGCCGGGAAGGCCCCGCUGCGUCCGAGCUGAUAGGAUUGGCGGCCGCUGCCUCCGCGGAGACUUUCCCCUUCCUGCUUUCGUUUCCACAGGCGGCUCCCUGCCCUAAGCGCUCGGCCCAGGGGACGUGGCACCGUGGACCGGGCGCUGAGACCCAAGUACCUGACUUCAGUUAACCACCACUUCUGCGAAGGGACCGCUUGGAAGAAGAAACGACGUAUAGGGUCCCAAAGAGCCACGUUCAUUCAUUCAAGAAUUUGUUCCCUGCUAGGCAAGGGCUCCCAGGAGAGGAGACGAAGGCAGCACCCAUUCUGCAUGUGCUAUUCUCAUAGAAGCCAGAAAAGAGGCUUUAAAUCUGCACUGCUCUUUGUGUGUGAUUGCCAGUAACGGGUACACACACACACACAAAGGUGAGUGGAGAUGUUAUUUUGAGAUGACCAGAAAAGACCUCUUAGAGUGGCAUUUGAGCAGAAAUGUGAAGGAUGAGAACGAUCCAGUCCUGGAACUAUCUGGUUUCAAGAAAGAAGCUAACAAUGAAAAGGAUUCUGAAAAGGGAAUGUGUUUUAAGGACCAAGAAAGAACCCUCAAUGGAAGACAGUAAAAGGAAAGGGGCUAAAUAAGAAGACAAAGAAAUAACUGGGGUCAUUCUGUAUAGGGCUUCUUAUUUUUUCUCUUAGCCCCAGGUUUGUCAACCGAAAUGAAGCAUUCACAACACCCACGUCCCCUUAUAUACGUGACGGAUGCUGUUAUUCAGAUCUUACAUCUAUUGUUUUUUUUGUUUUUUCCUUUAUUUUUGAGUCUGUGAGCCUGGAACUCACAGAAAUCCUCCUACCUGCCUGGGGAAUGCCGAGAUCAAAGGUGUGGGCCACUACACAAUGCAUGGUUUCUUUUAAGUAAAUGUCACCAAAGCUAAAGAUAAGGUGGGCAAGAAAAAAAUAGAUGAUUAACAGUAAGCUUAUAGGAUUUAAGUCCUUUGUCAACCCACACAGGAAAACUGAGUAACUUGUUCAUUCUCAUUUACAGUGAAAAUCAUUCUCGGUGAGGUAAGAGUGAGCCAAUGAUAGUCUUGAAUGUUGAUCUCUCUUCACUCUGUAGUAGAAUGCUUUCCAGCACUAGAUGCGAUUCCUAGUAGAGGCAUAAGCUAGAGAUUUGUUCCACCUGUUAAUCUUUUCACAGAGUUCCUGCAUUCUCUAAUAAAGAUAAGGGAGAGUUCUGAGGAAUCGGACAAAAUCUUUUAUGACCUUCAGAAACUCUGCACAAACAAGUAUGGGGUGGAAGAUAAGACAUUUAGAUUUAGGACGUUUAGCAUGGCCAGACUGGAAAAAUAAAAGUCAAUAGCUAGUUGUCUGCUGUGGCACUGGGUGUAGAGACAGGAGGCAAGAUUCUGUCCUUUCUCUGUGGUAGCAGAGCUGCCUUCCAUAGGCAAACAGUAACAAGACUGUAUCGCUGUGUGAGAUCAGCCCUUGUGUUCUAUAUCUUUGUAUAGUUCUUAGGCUGUUGUGCUAUAAAGCCAGCCAUAAGUGAUACCACACUCAGGAGGCUGGGGCAAGAAGGUUCUGAGUUCCAGGCCAGCUUGGGCUACAUAGCAAGACUUGGUUUCAAAUAAACAAAGCAAGCCUAGGUUGGAAAAUUCAUGGCCAAGUGUUCCCAGCACCCACGUGGUAUCUCACAACCAUCUGUAAUUUAGGAUCUCAGUCUCCUGGAACUGAAUCCCAGGCCUCCUUCUGACCUUGGAUACUGAGCAUACAUGUAUUACACAUAUGUCCAGGCAAAACACUAUACACAUAAAGUAGACAGUCCUAAAAAAGAAGUUAUGCAGUAGAAGCUAGGUGGCCCAGGUUUCAAUCAAGGCUUUUACCAAGACAGUCACUUCAAUUUCCUAAGCUUCCUGUUUAUCCAUGUAAUGAAAAAUAUAUCCUUCUCAUCAGAAUACGAGGAUUGAGUAUAAUAGCAUCAUCAUACUUAAAGAGACAUUUUGAAGAUUGGAUAGGAAGUAUUUUAAAGCCCUUAAGCACAGCUAUUAAAUGUCUGUUACAGCCAUGGAAGGGGCAAUUUGCAGAUGCCAUCAAGCUGGGAAGUAUAAAACACGCUCUAUCUCGUCAGUAAUCCUGAGUCAUUUGUCACAAUUGCACCCCAAGAAACUGUCUUAGCCACCCUUGAUAAAAGCUGAGUUGUAAAGGAGACAGAUGUAGGGACUGGCAUUUUUACUGUAAUCUCAUUCAUUUUAAAUAGCAUCCAAAGUAAUUGAUUUCAUUAUAACGUGUGUGUGUGUGUGUGUGUGUGUGUGAUCACUUUCUUCUGACUCAUUGUCUUCUCCCACUGUCCUCUCUCAUCCCCCUCACCCUCCUCUACUUGGUCCUUUUCCCCCUCUUAAAUAGCACCUCCUUCUGUUCUCAUGUCAGUAUAUUCUAUUACCCUUUCUUUCCCCUUCCUCGCAAUCAAGAACAGUUCUUCCCCCCUUGUGCACAUUCUACUUCACACACACACACACACACAGAGAGAGAGAGAGAGAGAGAGAGAGAGAGAGAGAGGAGGCUCCUUAGAUAAGAGGACUCAAAGGCAUUUGUCUUCUAGAGUCCAGUGUACUUUCUGUCGCAGGAUGACUUUCAGUUCCACCCAUUUUCCUGCAAAUGUCACAGCUUCAUGUGUGUGUAUACACCACUUUUCCAAUAUCCACCUCCCUGUUGAUGGACACCCAGUUGUUUCUACUCCCUAGCUAUUAUGAAUGACAGUGCAGCAGUAAAUAUGGAUGUGCAAGUGUUUCUGGUGUGCAUGUGUGUGUGUGUGUGUGUGUGUGUGUAUGUGUGUGAGUUGUGUUGUGUAACGGUGUAGCUGACUUACACGGCCUUCACACUUAUUUCUGUAGUGGCUUCUUGAGUUUACGGUCCCAUUAGCAGUGUGUAGGAGUGUAUCCUACCCCGCACCCUCACCAGUAUUUGUUCCUGUUUGUUGUCCUGAUGACAGUCAUUCUGACUGGGGAGAGAUGGGAUCCAAAAGCAAUUUUAAGUUGCAUUUCCCUCAUGGUUAAGGAUGUUCAACAUUUUUUUCAAAUAUUAACUAGGCAAUUGUUCUCUUGAAAGUUGUCUACUCAGGUUAUUAGCCAACUGUUUGAGUGAAUGAUUUUUGUUGCUGCUGGUUUUGUUUUGUUUUGUUUUGUUUUUUUGGGUUUUUGGUUGGUUGGUUGGUUUAGUUUGGUUUGGUCUGGUUUUUUGAAACAGGGCUUUUCUGUGCUGCUCUGGUCAUUCUGAAACUCACUCUGUAGACCAGGCUGGCCUCAGACUCAUAGAGAUUUCCCUGCUUUUGCCUCCUGGGUGCUGGGAUUAAAGGGUUGCACCACCACUGCCCAGCUUGAACAAUUUCUUUUGAUAUUUAAUUUCUGCAGUCCUUCAUAUAUUCUAGAUGUAAGCUCCUUGUCUAGUAUACAUUAGCUAAGUUUUUUUUUCCCAUUGUAAACGCUACCUCCUCAGUUUAGCAAAUGUUUCUUUUAUUGGGAAGGAAACCCUUUAAUUUUCUGUAAUCCCCUUUGUCAAUUCUUGGGAUUGUUUUCUGUAUUUUUGGAGACCUUUUUGGGAAGUUCUUGCCCAUGCCUGUAUCUUGAAAUAUAUUACCAUACUCUCCUGAAGCAAUUUCAAAGUUUCAGGUCUGAGACUACAAUUGUGAUGCAGUUUUCAUUGAUGUGUGUGUGUGUGUGUGUGUGCACAUAUGUAUGUGCCAAGAGAAAGCUAUGUAUCUAGUUUCAUUCCUCUACAAUCAAUAUCCAGUUUUUCCCAGUACCAUUUACUGAAAAGGCUGUCUUAUUUUCCCAAGUAUGUAUUUUACAUCUCUGUCAAAACAUGUAGCCAUAGCUGUGUGGCUUCUUCUGGGUCUUCUAUUCCACUGGUCUAUGUGUCUGGGUUUGCACUGGUGCUGUACUGGUUUUGUUACGAUGGCUCUGUAGGAUGAGAUGGUUUUGUUACAAUGGCUCUGUAAUAUAGUAUAAAAUCAAGCAUUGCAGCAGCUCCAGCGUUGCCCUUGCUUAGCAUUGCUUUGAUUAUUGCAGGACCUUGUGCGUCUGUGGGAAUUUUAGAGUUGUUUUUUCUAGUUCUGUAAAGAAUGCCAAUCAGAAUUCUGAUGGGAAUUGCACUGCAUUUCUAUAUAGCUUGUAGUAAUGGAACCAUUUUCUCCCGACUGACUUCUGCCAAUCCAUGAGCAUGUGAGAGAUCUUUUCAUCUUCUGGUGUAUUCUUCAACUUCUUUAAAGUAUUAAAGUCUUUAUUUAGUCUUUAAUCUCCUCGGUUGGGUGGUUAGGUUUAUUUGUAAAUUUAUUUCGUUUUUUAAGCCAUUGUGAUUAGGACUUUCCCCCUUGAUUUAAUACCCUUGGAAAAUUCAGUAUUGGCAUGUAGAAAAGCUACUCAACUUUGUAUGAAAGUAUUUAUCGGGUCUAGGUGUUUUCUGGUGGAGACUUUGGGUCUUUUAGGUAUAGGCUCAUGUUGUCUGUAAAAAGGCCAUGUGCCUUCUUUCCUACUCAUGUCCACUUUACUUCUUUAUCUUGUCUUAUGCUUAGCUAAGACUUUGAUCAUUGGAUUGAGUAGGACUCAUGGAGGUAGCAUAUUUGUCUCCUUCCUGAUUUAGAGGAAACAAUUACAGUCUUUUCCAUUUAAUAUACUUUUGGCUAUAGGUGUGUUAUUCGUAUGUAGCCUUUACUAUGUUGACACACGUCCCUCCUGUGAGUUUCUCUGAGGCUAUUCAUCAUGAAGGGAUGUUGAACUUUGUUAAAGGACUUAUCUACAUCUAAUAAAAUGAUAAUUAUAUUCUGCGUUGUCUUGACUGAUCUGUGUAUAUUGAACCAACCUUGCCUUCCUGGAAUGAGACAAACUUGACCAUAGUGUAUAAUCACAAUGUACAUUUGUAAAAAUUAGUUUUCAAGAGUGUACAAAUGUGUUUUUUUAUUAUUUCUAUCCAUGUGAAUGUGCAUGCCACAUGUGUGCCAAUGCCUGAGGCAAGAUGCAAGCACUAUAUCCUCUGGGAAUAGGACUAAAGGCAGAGCUGCCUGAGCUAUUGAUCUAGCUUUAAGCUUUAAAGAACUUUAUUGACAAUUUUUGUAUGUAUGUUCAUCAUGGAAGUUACAGUUUUCUUUUUUGUUCUUGUGCCAUCUUCUAUUUUAGAUACAAAAGUCAUGCUUAUUUCACAGAGUGAGUUUGGUCGUGUUGUUUUUCUUUCUAAUUAUGGAACAGUUUGAGGACUUUUAGAUUUGGCUUUUCUUGAAAGAAUUCAGUAGUGAAGCCUUCCAGUCGUGAGUUUUCCUUUGUUAGAGACUUGAUUUCUGCAUCAAUCUUGUUGAUUAUUAUAGAUCUUUAGAAGGUGGUUAUAUAUUCCUGAUUCAAGUUUAGUAGAUCAUACAUGUCUAGGAAUUUAUUAUUUUUUUAUAUAGAUAGGUUUUUACAGUUCUUUAUCUGCUCAGCUCUUUAUUAUUUCUUGCUGUCUACUGCUUUGGAUUUUGGCUUCUCUUUUCUGUUUUUGAGCCUUUGAGACAGUCCACUUGGUCACAUAUCUACCAUCACACUGAUGUUUUUAAUGUAAGCCCUCCAGCUAUAAACUUUCCUUUUAAGGACUGCCUUAGCUGUAUCCCAUAGAGACUAAUAGGUUGUGCUUUCAUUUUUGCUUAAUUUUAAGAAUUUUUCUUCUCGAUUUCUUGAAUGGCCCACUGGUCCUUCCUAAAUCUAGUCAUCAGCCUCAGGUACUUCUGUAGUUUCUGUGGUUUCUUCUGCUAUUGAUCUCUAGUUUCACUGCAGUAAGAUCCAAUAAGAUACAAGAAAUUACUUUGAUUUUCUUUUAUUUGUUAAGACCUGUUCUCUUGGGGGCUGGAGAGACAGCUUAGUGGUUAAGAGCACUGGCUGCUCUUCCAGAGAACCUGGGUUCAAUUUUCAACACCCACAUGGCAGCUCACACAUGUCUGUAAGUCCAGUUUGGGGGGCCUCUGACACCCUCACACAGACAGACAUGAGGUAAAACACCAGUGGACGUAGAAUGAGGUCUGUUUUAGAGAAGGUUCCAGGGCCUUUUGAUGUAUAUUGAGUAUCUGUUGGAUUGAACUCUAUAUGUCAGAAGUCAUUUAAUCUACAGUGUGGUUUUGUGGGGUUUUAUUUUGUUUUGUUUGUUUGGUUUGGUUUGGUUUGGUUUGAUUUGGUUUGGUUUUGGUUUCUCAAGACAGGUUUCUCUGUGUAGCCCUGGCUGUCCUGAAACUCCCUUUAUAGAUGAGGCUGGUCUCAGUCUCAGAGCUCUGCCUGCCUCUGUUUCCCAAGUGCUAGGUGUGUGCCACCAUGCCCGGCCUGGAGUGCAGUUUGACGAUGAGAUCUCUUUAUUUAUUUUUGCUUUCAAAUGACCUCUAUGGAUAUGUCAUUGAGUCACUGAAGUCAUUCCUCUUGUUGUGUCAGGAUUUACCUAAACUUUUAUGUCCAUUAGUGUUUGUUUUAUAAAACGGAGAGUAUCUAUUUUCAGUAUAUGUGUAUUUAUAUUUGCUGCUUGUUCUUGAUGAAAUAUUUCCUUUAUUAAUAUGCCAUGGGGCCUCCUUUAUGUCUUCUGAGUAAGUUUUGUUUGAACUCUUCUCCAUCAGACAGCAGAAAAGCCAUGCCAGCGUGUCUUCCGUUUCUGUUCACUUGCCUGAUUGACUCAGAGCCUCUGUCUGAUUCUGAAUCUGUAAGUGUGUUUUGCUAGUUAUGUUUCUUGGGGACAUUGGAUACUUGGAUCUACUUUUUGAGCCCAGCCGGUCAGUUUGCAUCUCUUUAUCCGAGAUAAUCUGUAGUAUUGACAGAUGUGUAUUAAUUUUUGUAACUUUGGGUUGUGUUGUUGCUAGCUCCAUUCCUUCUCUGCUCUUAGAGUCAGUUGUCUGCUGGUUUAGUGCCUUGGUCCUGCCGGAUUCCUGGCCAGCCCUUUUGGUUCUGCUCCUCUCAGUAAACGUAUUCUUCUCUGUGAUCUCAUGAUUGAGACCUUCCACCUUUUCUGUGUGUAAUAUGCCUUGGGUGUUUUUAGGUUUGCUCUGUUUUGCUUUGUAUUUUUGGACUUGCUAGUCAUAAACUUGUCAUGUGCUUGUCUUGUAUGUCUACUUCUCUGUCAGAGCUAAGAGAGAGCUUUGGUGGAGGGAGUGACCUUAGCGGAAAGGUUUUGUGCUCUCAGAGCAUGAUAUAUACUGCGCCGUGUUUUAGGAUUGUUGCUGCGGUGUCUCCGUGGUAUGGAAACAUGCUUGUCCAACAACAACCACUCGUGUUGAUGAUUUGGCAUUUCCCCUGAAACCUUUCCUAUUAUCCUUUCCUUUGCAUCCCCAAAAUCUUGAUUAUGAUAGAUGAGAAGUGGCUUUUCCUUGGAUGUCUGCCUGUUGCUCUAGAUUUUAGGAGGGAGGGAAAGUUAUGUUAUAAUUUAAUUGGGUAGAUUCUUUAUAUCUUUAGUUUUACGUCUCAUUUCCUUUUUCCAUUCCACAGAUUCGUGGGUUUAGACCAUUGAUGAUAUCCCAGAGUCUUGGCCACUGUACCACGAUCCUGUUUUCUUACUGUAUUUGGAUGCAGCCUGACCUUUGCCUUGGCAUCCAUUCAUCCAUGAUGUUCUUCCUCUGCUUGCUUAAGUCCAUUGAUUACGCUUUACGUUUCAGUCUGUUUGUUUUCAUGCAGUUGUCAUUUCCAUUGCUUCUGUUUGGCUUUAUCCCAAUCUCUCCAUUUCCUUGCUAACUUUCGGUUCUCCAUCAAUCCUGUUGACUUUCUCACCCUUUCUGCUGAUCGUUUCCUCUUGUCUGUGGAUUUUCCUCUUCAGGUCCUACUUGAAUUCCUUACUUGUCUGUGCCAUCUCUGAGGUCAUCCAUCCCCUUUGAAGUCUUGUGUUUCACUGUGAUUUGCAUUUCUGAUGGUGUGAAUGGUUCUUCUGGUUUUAUUUUGGAUUCUUAUUGUUGAACAGCAUGUCUUUGAAGCCUCAAUACCACUUACAGAAAAUAAAACAAACUACUACACUACGAGGAACAUGAAACCAUAGAAGUAAGACACGUGCUUUAAAAAAAACUCAAUAACAUAUCACUAAUAUCCAUAAAACAAAACAGAAAAUGGCAAAACUACUGUACUGUACUGUGAACCUAAAAAGUAUUUAGAGCAAAGGUGGAAGCAGUGAAUGCUGGGGAAAGGCAGGCAAAGAGCAAACCAAAAACCGAAAUAAGAUUAAAUAAAUAUGAGAGAAAAUAAGCGGAGGAGGAGAGGAGAGUGUUUUAGAGGGCAAGAGGGUAGAGCAAGGCGUCAGGAAAAAUAAAAAUAAGAUAAAACCCAGAAAGCUCCAUUGUAAUCACAGACCGUACAAAGCUCAAAACCAAAAAGUGGUAAACAUAAGAAAGUGACAAAAAAAUUAAGCGUGGAUUUUAAAAACGAUAUGACAAAGACAAAAUAACCACUAAAUGUAUAAUAGAAAAAAAAAGAAACGAAAAGAAAAGAAGACAAGAGCAGAAGGCAGGGGAGGGGGGAGGGGGAGGAGGAAAAAGAGGAGGAAGAGGAAAGAAAGAACUUUAUAAAGAGUGAGAAAAAGAAAAAUAUCUCAGCUGGGCGGUGGUGGCGCACGCCUUUAAUCCCAGCACUUGGGAGGCAGAGGCAGGUGGAUUUCUGAAUUCGAGACCAGCCUGGUCUACAAAGUGAGUUCCAGGACAGCCAGGGCUACACAGACAAACCCUAUCUCGGAAAAAAAAAAGAAAAAAGAAAAAAAAAAAAAAGAAAAAUAUCUCCCAGUAAUGAGAAAAAUCUGUAAACAUCACUAAAUGCACAAAGAUAAUCUAAAAGCUAAUCCAAAAAAUAUUAGCAAAAUAAAUUUAAAAUACUGCUGAAAGUAUUAGUAAAAGAAAGGGAGGAGGGACUACAAGAUAGGGAUGACUCAGCUUCUCUUGAUCCUUGGAAACUCAAGGCUGCCAGUAAAAUGCAUGGGAGGGGUCAGCCACGUCUGUGGGCUUGUAGUUCCUAUAGUUUAUACUGUUGUUCCUGCACGGGUCCUGGGCAAGUACCCACGUCUGCCAGAGUUGUGCUCACUAGGGUACCUUCCCUUCCUUGCCUGUCCAAGGCCUCCCCUGGCCAUACUUGCCUUUAUGGAAUGUAGUCUGGACAGUCUCUCUCCCUCUUGAGACUCCCCAGAUUGAAUUCCCUUGGGCGGUUAGUGUUCCAGCAGAAGAUCUCUUCCAAAUGGGAGAAGAAAAUGAAAUCCCUGAAAACUCUACACACCAAGGACUAGUCUUUGUACUCUCGGGACCUCUUAAGCGUUGAUCGGCUUCAGGGGUACCGCUUGAGUGUCAAGAAGCCAAGUGGAGCUGAAACAGUCCCCAUACACGACUGAUAGCUGACAGCAAAAGCUGAUCCACACACUGGCCUUCAGUCUCAGGGCCAUCAAACUCCAGACUCAUUCUCAGUUUCAUCAAGGCAAAUCUCUUCGUCUCUGAGGACAAGGCUACCUUUCCUUUACGCCCUGAGCCAACACUCCACCCCCACCCCUUCACUCUUGCCUUAUCAGCAUCGAGUUCUCCCACACUCCAAAGGUGCCUCCAGAGGCUGACUCACUCCCUGGAACUGUGACUAGUUAGCUUCAGUCUCUCUUUCCUGCGGUUGUCUCUGUACGCAGGACCCUAGGGAAGCUCAGCGUUAAGCAACAGCUUCCUUCUUCGGGUAGAACCCAGUCCCUGUCGUCUGAGUCAUACGCAAUGAUAGUGUCUCCAUGGCUGGCCCAUCCACCAGAGGACCACUAUUUCACCAACGCCAGCAACUGGAUCUGAGGCUUUCUAGGCCUACGGGCUUAUCCCGAGGAGACAUCUUCUAUCCCACACGCUUACCAAAACUCCCUAUGCUAUGAUUUUUUAAAUGUAAGAAACCAACUGUAUCAGAGCUGGUCACAAUAUUUCAAGUCUCUAACUCCGGCACAUGGGAGACUGAGGCAGAAUAGUCAUGAGUUUGAGGAUAGCCUGGACUUCAUAGCAGUUUCAAAGCAAGUCUCAAGUACAAAGGAAGACCCCAUCUUGAAGAGGAAACGAGAAGAGAGAAACACUUUAAAAAAAAAAAAACCUGUCGUUGAACAAGAUAAUGACAACCUCUUUGUUUCUCAUUUGUUUGCUUGCUUAGUAUUCUGCUGCAUUUUAUUUAUUUUAGUUGGUUGUGUCGUUUGUCUUGGGGUGAGGCAGGAUUUUACUGUGUAGCUGGGGUGGAACUUGCUCUGCUUCCAGAGUGCUGGAGUCUCAGAGUGGAGCACCACCCCCAGAGGAGCCAUCAUCCCUAAGUGUUAACUAUGUUUCAAGCCAAAGAAAGAUUUGAGAAAGUCUCUGGUUGGCAGACUCAUACCAAGAUCUGAGGAUGGGUCCAAAAAGUAUUUUGUUUCAUUCCAAAAUAGAGAAAAUAUGAUUUUCUGAAGGAAAAAAAAAAGAGGAAGUAGUAGCUAUGGAAAGAGGCUAAUUUAUUUUAGGUCUAGGAUUAUAAACAGGGUGUCUGAAUCAGGUAAACAGACAAGCGAACAACAUUGUCUUACUUUAAAUCAAUCACAGGUCUGCCUCAGUACACCCUCAUUCUGACAUCGGUCCUCUUCACAGUCUUUGUGUUCUGCAGAACAAAACUUCCUUUCCUUUGACAUGAGCAGACUGUACAUGAGAACCAAAUAGUUUUCCACUAUGUAAACCCUUUUAGGUUAGGGUAAUUAUCUGUCUAAAUACACAGAAUGUCAAGUGCAACUUUGCUCUACUUUGAACAAAGGGGAAAAAAAAGUUUUUUGAAAUGUAGUUUUACAAUGUGCACCGAGCUGGGCUUGAACUCACGAACCCCCUGUGCCGCUGAGCAUCUGGGAUCACAGACAGCAGUGUCAACAACACAAGAGUUGACUAAAGACAGUGAGAGUUACCUGCCCACAAAUUGUUAUUUUUGAAAACAAUACGUUGCAAGAUCUACUGUGAAAAGCAGAAAUUCAGGUGGAAAGUUCAACAUGUAAAUGUGUUUGUCACCAAGUCUGACCACUUGAGGAAAUUCCUCUGAAGCUUGAACAUAGACGGAGAGAACUGAAUCCGGUGAGUUGACCUCUGACCCCUACAUAUCUCUUACGGUGGGUGCAACUCACAUUCCUGUGGGCGUGUGCACACACACAUAUGUAAAUACAUGUAUAAAAAUAAAUGUGACAACCUAAAAAUAGAAAAUGUCCAUACUGAAGUGCCAAUGUAGAAAGUAUUGACUUCUGAGACUAAAGUGUACACUCUUUCUCCCAAGCCUAGCUUCUUUCUAAAGAACAUAAUGGCUAGAAGUGCCAGCCUCCAUUGCCUAGUUAGUGUGUGCCCCUCUCUGUUUCCGUUGAUUGGAGCAUAAUGAACACCUGACUCAAGCAGAACCAGAAGUUCCCUUCCAGGGAAUUUGGAAUUGAGAGUCAUAGACCAUACAUCCCUUUUUUGUUUGCAGGAAGUGAGAUCACCCAUACUCUGGGGUUGAGGCAACCACCGUAAGAGUAAUGUCUGGGUUCUCAUACCUGGAGUUGCAGAGGAGUGGACCAGUAGAGGGAGGAAAACAGGGGAGGCAGCCAUAGGCAAGUGCUGGCUCUGGUUAGCCCCUCCUCCCUAACAAUUCCUGUAAAACACUACUGGGAUAUGCUGUUGCUCCAUGAUGACGCUCUCCUAUUUAAAGUCAUGCCACAGAACCUUUAGCUGAGUCUCCAGCAUUAAAGCAAAUGCCCAUUUGUCUUUAGACCUUUGUGUUCCUCUAAAUCUUUCCCUCUGGUGCCUCCUCUUUUGGAAGUCUUGAAACUAUGCCUCUUUAUCUACCCAUCGUGAGAGCUGAUGAAUGGAAGGCAGGUGUGCUCCUCUAAGGAGAGGCAGCUGCUGUUGAGAAAGUGCUUUCUAUUGAUUCUUUCGUUGCUGGUAUAUUCUGAAGCCCACUACAAGAGCACAUAUCUAAAUUCAUUUUCCUGGAAGUUGCUUUCUUAAAAAAAAAAAAAAAACUUACAUCAUUCACAACAGAUCAAACUUCAGCCAGUCUAGUACAAAUUGAAUUGGGUCUCCCGAGAAAAUAUGUUGAAGUCCUAACCACUAUUUCCUAUGGAUGUGGAAAUGCUCGUUGGAAAAUACUCUCUCUGCAGAGCUAAUCAAGCAACAAAUGAAAGCACUAAGGUGAACCCUGACCUGGAAUGACAGGAAUUCCUAGGAAUGCACAGGAACACAGGCUAUGUGAAUUGGAGGCAGAGGUCACCGUGACACAUCUUCCUAAAGAGGAACAGGUUAAAGAGACCUGGGGGCCAUCAGAAGCUGGAAGAAGCAACGAAGGAAUCCUCUCACCCCGAAACUUCACACGAAGCUUGACCCUUGCCAACCCCUUGGGAAGCCUAGUUUUCAGAUUUAUGAAAGAAUAAGUUCCUACUGAUAUAAGCCAUCCAAUGUGGUAGUCUAGGGUAGUCUAGAAAAGUAAUAGACUAGGUAGUGCUUCUCAAACUGAAGUCCAGACAAGUCUUGGACUUUUUAAAUUCCCCUGUCUGACACAGGAAAUGCUGCCUGAGAAUUGACAGCGACUUGUUAGAGGGAAGAAAUCAGUCUCCUUAUUACUCUUUCCUGUUUGUUUGCUUUCCCAUUGAAUCGCAGUGCUUCUGUUUACUUAUUUCCUGUCACCUUCACUUGUCACACGACAAUGAUAAAGGAUGUAGCAGUCCUAAGGCAGGCUUUGGCUGGGUACUCCACGGCUACAAGAAUGUUGGUAUCACACACAUCCCUCCCAGAUGUCAAAUCAGCCCUUUCCUGAAGCACAGGAAGCUUGCCGGGAACCAAGGACAUUCCAGCAAGUUCAGCUUUAGUAAGAAUGAUGACAGGAAAAACGUGUAAGGCGACUAUUAAUUACUGAAAUAUGCUUGUCUUAAACCUCGUGAAAGCGUAGGGUGUAUGCCUUCAUGUCUACUGUCGAUAUAAAAACAUUUUAAUGUA
This is a long non-coding RNA of Mus musculus (house mouse), 13910 nucleotides long. RefSeq annotates it as predicted gene, 41829. The record is from RefSeq and is a predicted model, not a curated record. The transcript has 2 exons. Lineage: Eukaryota; Metazoa; Chordata; Mammalia; Rodentia; Muridae.